RNAcentral lists this ribosomal RNA (253 nucleotides) under uncultured bacterium. Its description in RNAcentral is "partial 16S ribosomal RNA". It matches the Rfam family "Bacterial small subunit ribosomal RNA", at positions 524 to 776 of the family's 1533-position model. The record is from RNAcentral.
UACGAAGGGGGCUAGCGUUGCUCGGAAUCACUGGGCGUAAAGGGUGCGUAGGCGGUCUUAUAAGUCAGUGCUGAAAUAUCCCGGCUUAACCGGGAGGGUGGCAUUGAUACUGUAGGACUUGAGUAGAGUUGAGGUUGGCGGAAUUGACGGUGUAGCGGUGAAAUGCUUAGAUAUCGUCAAGAACACCGAUAGUGAAGACAGCUAACUAAGCUCUAACUGACGCUGAGGCACGAAAGUGUGGGGAUCAAACAGG